GCGCCUGUAGCUCAGUUGGAUAGAGCAUCUGCCUUCUAAGCAGGUGGUCACAGGUUCGAAUCCUGUCAGGUGCG
RNAcentral lists this transfer RNA (74 nucleotides) under Faucicola atlantae. RNAcentral's name for it is "Moraxella atlantae tRNA". It matches the Rfam family "tRNA". From Rfam's summary of the family: Transfer RNA (tRNA) molecules are approximately 80 nucleotides in length. Their secondary structure includes four short double-helical elements and three loops (D, anti-codon, and T loops). The record is from Rfam by way of RNAcentral. Lineage: Bacteria; Pseudomonadati; Pseudomonadota; Gammaproteobacteria; Moraxellales; Moraxellaceae.